This 301-nucleotide ribosomal RNA is filed under the name uncultured bacterium. Its description in RNAcentral is "partial 16S ribosomal RNA". It matches the Rfam family "Bacterial small subunit ribosomal RNA", at positions 509 to 809 of the family's 1533-position model. The record is from RNAcentral.
CAGUAGCCGCGGUAAAACGAAGGGGGCUAGCGUUGUUCGGAAUUACUGGGCGUAAAGCGCACGUAGGCGGACAUUUAAGUCAGGGGUGAAAUCCCGGGGCUCAACCCCGGAACUGCCUUUGAUACUGGGUGUCUAGAGUAUGGAAGAGGUGAGUGGAAUUCCGAGUGUAGAGGUGAAAUUCGUAGAUAUUCGGAGGAACACCAGUGGCGAAGGCGGCUCACUGGUCCAUUACUGACGCUGAGGUGCGAAAGCGUGGGGAGCAAACAGGAUUAGAUACCCCUGUAGUCCCUGUCUCUUAUAA